CCUACGGGCGGCAGCAGUGGGGAAUUUUGCGCAAUGCUCGUAAGAGUGACGCAGCGACGCCGCGUGAAUGACGGAGGCCUUCGGGUCGUAAAGUUCUUUCGACAGGGAAGAAAAUGCCUAUAAGUAACUGUGUAUGUAUUGACGGUACCUGUAUAAGCAGCCCCGGCUAACUCCGUGCCAGCAGCCGCGGCAAUACGGCGGGGGCGUGCGUUUGUCGGAGUGACGGGGGGUAAAGAGGACGUAGGCGGGGUUGUAAGUCAUUAGGAAAAGACUAGAGCUCAACUUUAGUAAGGCUAGUGAUACUAUAAUACUAGAGUAUCAGAGAGGAAUGCAGAAUUCCUGGUGUAGCGGUGAAAUGCGUAGAUAUCAGGAGGAAUACCGUUAGCGAAGGCGGCAAUCUGGCUGGAAACUGACGCUGAGGUGCGAAAGCGUGGGUAGCAAACAGGAUUAGAUACCCUUGUAGUC
This 465-nucleotide ribosomal RNA is filed under the name uncultured bacterium. RNAcentral's name for it is "partial 16S ribosomal RNA". It matches the Rfam family "Bacterial small subunit ribosomal RNA", at positions 338 to 795 of the family's 1533-position model. The record is from RNAcentral.